AAGUCGAACGAAGCACCUUACCUGAUUCUUCGGAUGAAGGUCUGGUGACUGAGUGGCGGACGGGUGAGUAACGCGUGGGUAACCUGCCCUGUACAGGGGGAUAACAGUUGGAAACGGCUGCUAAUACCGCAUAAGCGCACGAGAGGACAUCCUCUUGUGUGAAAAACUCCGGUGGUACAGGAUGGGCCCGCGUCUGAUUAGCUGGUUGGCAGGGUAACGGCCUACCAAGGCGACGAUCAGUAGCCGGUCUGAGAGGAUGAACGGCCACAUUGGAACUGAGACACGGUCCAAACUCCUACGGGAGGCAGCAGUGGGGAAUAUUGCACAAUGGGGGAAACCCUGAUGCAGCAACGCCGCGUGAGUGAAGAAGUAUUUCGGUAUGUAAAGCUCUAUCAGCAGGGAAGAUAAUGACGGUACCUGACUAAGAAGCUCCGGCUAAAUACGUGCCAGCAGCCGCGGUAAUACGUAUGGAGCAAGCGUUAUCCGGAUUUACUGGGUGUAAAGGGUGCGUAGGUGGCAGUGCAAGUCAGAUGUGAAAGGCCGGGGCUCAACCCCGGAGCUGCAUUUGAAACUGCUCGGCUAGAGUACAGGAGAGGCAGGCGGAAUUCCUAGUGUAGCGGUGAAAUGCGUAGAUAUUAGGAGGAACACCAGUGGCGAA
This 658-nucleotide ribosomal RNA is filed under the name uncultured Lachnospiraceae bacterium. RNAcentral's name for it is "bacterial SSU rRNA". It matches the Rfam family "Bacterial small subunit ribosomal RNA", at positions 59 to 719 of the family's 1533-position model. The record is from RNAcentral. Lineage: Bacteria; Bacillati; Bacillota; Clostridia; Lachnospirales; Lachnospiraceae.